AACACGGGGAAACUCACCAGGUCCAGACACAACUAGGAUUGACAGAUUGAGAGCUCUUUCUUGAUUUUGUGGGUGGUGGUGCAUGGCCGUUCUUAGUUGGUGGAGUGAUUUGUCUGCUUAAUUGCGAUAACGAACGAGACCUUAACCUGCUAAAUAGCCCAACUGGCUUUGGCUGGCUGCUGGCUUCUUAGAGGGACAUUCGGCUUAAGCCGACGGAAGUUUGAGGCAAUAACAGGUCUGUUAUGCCCUUAGAUGUUCUGGGCCACACGCGCGCUACACUGACAGAGCCAGCGGGUUUUUUUCCUUAACCGAAAGGUUUGGGUAAACCUAGAAACUCUGUCGUGCUGGGGAUAGAGCAUUGCAAUUAUUGCUCUUCAACGAGGAAUGCCUAGUAAGCGCAUGUCAUCAGCAUGCGUUGAUUACGUCCCUGCCCUUUGUACACACCGCCCGUCGCUACUACCGAUUGAAUGGCCAAGUGAGGCAUUCUGACUGACCUGAGG
Molecule: ribosomal RNA, 500 nt
Filed under: uncultured eukaryote
Lineage: Eukaryota
Description: SSU rRNA
Rfam family: Eukaryotic small subunit ribosomal RNA
Source: RNAcentral